UACGGGGGGGGCAAGCGUUGUUCGGAAUUACUGGGCGUAAAGGGCGCGUAGGCGGAUAGUUUAGUCAGAGGUGAAAGCCCAGGGCUCAACCUUGGAACUGCCUUUGAUACUGGCUAUCUUGAGUUCGGGAGAGGUGAGUGGAAUGCCGAGUGUAGAGGUGAAAUUCGUAGAUAUUCGGCGGAACACCAGUGGCGAAGGCGACUCACUGGCCCGAUACUGACGCUGAGGCGCGAAAGCGUGGGGAGCAAACAGG
Molecule: ribosomal RNA, 253 nt
Filed under: uncultured bacterium
Lineage: Bacteria
Description: partial 16S ribosomal RNA
Rfam family: Bacterial small subunit ribosomal RNA
Source: RNAcentral